RNAcentral lists this ribosomal RNA (253 nucleotides) under uncultured prokaryote. RNAcentral describes it as "partial 16S ribosomal RNA". It matches the Rfam family "Bacterial small subunit ribosomal RNA", at positions 524 to 776 of the family's 1533-position model. The record is from RNAcentral.
UACGUAGGGUGCGAGCGUUAAUCGGAAUUACUGGGCGUAGAGCGUGCGCAGGCGGUUUUGUAAGCCAGAUGUGAAAUCCCCGGGCUUAACCUGGGAAUGGCAUUUGGGACUGCAAGGCUGGAGUACGGCAGAGGGGGAUGGAAUUCCGCGUGUAGCAGUGAAAUGCGUAGAUAUGCGGAGGAACACCGAUGGCGAAGGCAAUCCCCUGGGCCUGUACUGACGCUCAUGCACGAAAGCGUGGGGAGCAAACAGG